Molecule: ribosomal RNA, 914 nt
Filed under: uncultured Lactobacillus sp.
Lineage: Bacteria; Bacillati; Bacillota; Bacilli; Lactobacillales; Lactobacillaceae
Description: bacterial SSU rRNA
Rfam family: Bacterial small subunit ribosomal RNA
Source: RNAcentral
GACGAACGCUGGCGGCGUGCCUAAUACAUGCAAGUCGAGCGAGCUUGCCUAGAUGAAUUUGGUGCUUGCACCAAAUGAAACUAGAUACAAGCGAGCGGCGGACGGGUGAGUAACACGUGGGUAACCUGCCCAAGAGACUGGGAUAACACCUGGAAACAGAUGCUAAUACCGGAUAACAACACUAGACGCAUGUCUAGAGUUUAAAAGAUGGUUCUGCUAUCACUCUUGGAUGGACCUGCGGUGCAUUAGCUAGUUGGUAAGGUAACGGCUUACCAAGGCAAUGAUGCAUAGCCGAGUUGAGAGACUGAUCGGCCACAUUGGGACUGAGACACGGCCCAAACUCCUACGGGAGGCAGCAGUAGGGAAUCUUCCACAAUGGACGCAAGUCUGAUGGAGCAACGCCGCGUGAGUGAAGAAGGGUUUCGGCUCGUAAAGCUCUGUUGGUAGUGAAGAAAGAUAGAGGUAGUAACUGGCCUUUAUUUGACGGUAAUUACUUAGAAAGUCACGGCUAACUACGUGCCAGCAGCCGCGGUAAUACGUAGGUGGCAAGCGUUGUCCGGAUUUAUUGGGCGUAAAGCGAGUGCAGGCGGUUCAAUAAGUCUGAUGUGAAAGCCUUCGGCUCAACCGGAGAAUUGCAUCAGAAACUGUUGAACUUGAGUGCAGAAGAGGAGAGUGGAACUCCAUGUGUAGCGGUGGAAUGCGUAGAUAUAUGGAAAGAACACCAGUGGCGAAAGGCGGCUCUCUGGGUCUGCAACUGACGCUGAGGCUCCAAAGCAUGGGUAGCGAACAGGAUUAUAUACCCGGGAGUCCAAGGGCGAAUUCCACAGUGGAUAUCAAGCUUACGAUACCGUCGACCUUCUAAGAAGGAGCCCGCGAACCACUUUUGUUCCUUUACGGGGGUUAAUUAUCUAACC